UGCCAGCAGCCGCGGUAAUACGGAGGGGGCUAGCGUUGUCCGGAAUUACUGGGCGUAAAGGGCGCGUAGGCGGCUUUUCAAGUCAGGCGUGAAAGCCCCGGGCUCAACCUGGGAACUGCGUUUGAGACUGUUGAGCUUGAGACCGGGAGAGGUGAGUGGAAUUCCCAGUGUAGAGGUGAAAUUCGUAGAUAUUGGGAAGAACGCCAGUGGCGAAGGCGGCUCACUGGCCCGGAUCUGACGCUGAGGCGCGAAAGCGUGGGGAGCAAACAGGAUUAGAUA
This 279-nucleotide ribosomal RNA is filed under the name uncultured bacterium. Its description in RNAcentral is "partial 16S ribosomal RNA". It matches the Rfam family "Bacterial small subunit ribosomal RNA", at positions 506 to 784 of the family's 1533-position model. The record is from RNAcentral.